CGCCGUGUCGUGCCGUGCUGAAUCAAGCCGGACCGCAACAGCCGCGCCACGGCAUGGCUCGGCACAGCUCCUCUAUCCCAUGUCAUGUUAUCGUCUGCCACGCGUUUGAUAACUGCCACCUUCGUCCGUGCGUGCGUACGUGACGCGCCCUUACGCGUCUUCUCUCGCGGACGAUCUUGCCAACAAUUUCCGGUGACGUGUAUUUUCGCUUCAUCCGAUCAAUUGUUACUCGCGUUUCAUCUUUUUCUUUCCGACCUGUCGAAUCGGUACUAUUUUACAAUAAUGCAUGAAUUGGAGUAGUAACGUUGAUCGGUUCAUGGUAUCGUUUCGUUAAUUUACAAGUGAAUCUGACGUGAACGAGGUGAACUAUUUGAGAUAGUGUCCAAUGGAGACCGCGAAGAAGACCGGUUGAUCCACGUGAGUCGCUAUGGAAUCGUCGGAUGGAAAGUUUGGAAUAUACUACGUGGGUUCGAUCUUCGUGGGAGGCUGCGCAGCGCGUAAAGAUAAACAUCCAUACGCAAGAAUAACAUCUUCUAGAUCCCUCUAAUCACAACACUCAGAGGAUACUCCGUACAUAAGCGAGGAACAUGGGUAAGAAAACACUUUUGAUAGAGCCAUCGGAAAAAUGAGAGAGCGGCCUGGCAAUUCAUCAAGGGAGAUCAUUAUUCGUGAUAACAGAGAAAACUGGAUCGCGCAUAUAACAAGCAAGGGCAAACGCAACACGCUGGGAAAUGUGUAUAAAAAAAGGGAAAGAAAAGAGCUAGCAACCUUGAUCAGCUCUCACGUGCAGUAAAAUUUACAUGGACGUGGAGAGAGAUGGGUCCCGGAGGUUCAAUUACGAGAUUGCCAAUAUGCAAGCGACAUGGCGGUGGCGGCCAUCGCUUUGGCUGAUGAGGCUAAUGGAUGGUUGAAACCUGAGAAGAACGGCAAAGAGGAAAAAGAGGCCAAGGGAGAGGCCCCUGACAGCCACUAAGUGCGCUCCGUCCUUCUCCACCCUUCCCCAAUUCCCCCUUCCUUUCUCGUCCUUUCGGUCCCAGCCCUGUUCUCUCUCGUCUCUGCAACACUCUGCCCGCUGCGGAUGCCCUUAUGUGAAACCUAAUCACUUUUAGCGCGCGUCACGGAUAUUUCGUAUUAUGUCUACAUUGCGUUCUCCGGUAUCAGCUGACUUUAUCAGCCGUCUCUCUACAGUUCAACCUUUCCCUCAUCUCCCUUCAUCCCCUUCGUUCAUAGAAUCAAGUCGCGCGUGCAGCAAACCCUAAUCGGCUGAUGCGUUUCUCAAGGAUAGAUCAUGGAGCCAAUUUUUGAAAAAACAUUUAAAAAAUCUUGCGAGCUCUUUAAUUUUAAACUUUAAUUUAAAUAAUUUUUUUUUCGAUUCAAUGAUUGUAUACAUUCAAGUAUCGUCUUUUUUGUAUUUAUACUUUGCCGCUAGUAAUGACAUAUAAUAAACAAAUACACUUUAUAAUGCGUGAUUACAAAUUACGUGGAUAGUGUAGUUACAAUGGAAAAGUAUAAUUUGUAAAUAAUGCAAUAUUUUUCUUUUUAUGUUGUUAAAUCGAUACGCAUAUGCGAAUGUACGUAAUAACGACACAUUUGCGUGUUUAUACUAAUGUAUGAAAUACUCUAAUGCCACAAUUACGUAUCAUCAAAGUAACACGUGCACCGAGGAAAAUUGAUUUUUCUAUAUAAUUCAUAAUAUGUGAUC
Molecule: long non-coding RNA, 1702 nt
Organism: Acromyrmex echinatior (Panamanian leafcutter ant)
Lineage: Eukaryota; Metazoa; Arthropoda; Insecta; Hymenoptera; Formicidae
Source: RefSeq, a predicted model, not a curated record